RNAcentral lists this ribosomal RNA (265 nucleotides) under uncultured Prevotella sp. RNAcentral describes it as "partial 16S ribosomal RNA". It matches the Rfam family "Bacterial small subunit ribosomal RNA", at positions 92 to 355 of the family's 1533-position model. Lineage: Bacteria; Pseudomonadati; Bacteroidota; Bacteroidia; Bacteroidales; Prevotellaceae. The record is from RNAcentral.
CGACCGGCGCACGGGUGAGUAACGCGUAUCCAACCUUCCCAUUACUGUGGGAUAACCUGCCGAAAGGCAGACUAAUACCGCAUAGUCUUCGAUGACGGCAUCAGAUUUGAAGUAAAGAUUUAUCGGUAAUGGAUGGGGAUGCGUCUGAUUAGCUUGUUGGCGGGGUAACGGCCCACCAAGGCGACGAUCAGUAGGGGUUCUGAGAGGAAGGUCCCCCCACAUUGGAACUGAGACACGGUCCAAACUCCUACGGGAGGCAGCAGCC